AGCGAACGCUGGCGGCAGGCUUAACACAUGCAAGUCGAGCGGGCGUAGCAAUACGUCAGCGGCAGACGGGUGAGUAACGCGUGGGAACAUACCUUUUGGUUCGGAACAACACAGGGAAACUUGUGCUAAUACCGGAUAAGCCCUUACGGGGAAAGAUUUACCGCCGAAAGAUUGGCCCGCGUCUGAUUAGCUAGUUGGUGAGGUAACGGCUCACCAAGGCGACGAUCAGUAGCNGGUCUGAGAGGAUGAUCAGCCACAUUGGGACUGAGACACGGCCCAAACUCCUACGGGAGGCAGCAGUGGGGAAUAUUGGACAAUGGGCGAAAGCCUGAUCCAGCCAUGCCGCGUGAGUGAUGAAGGCCCUAGGGUUGUAAAGCUCUUUGUGCGGGAAGAUAAUGACGGUACCGCAAGAAUAAGCCCCGGCUAACUUCGUGCCAGCCGCCGCUGUAAC
RNAcentral lists this ribosomal RNA (451 nucleotides) under uncultured bacterium. Its description in RNAcentral is "bacterial SSU rRNA". It matches the Rfam family "Bacterial small subunit ribosomal RNA", at positions 29 to 524 of the family's 1533-position model. The record is from RNAcentral.